Molecule: ribosomal RNA, 253 nt
Filed under: uncultured bacterium
Lineage: Bacteria
Description: partial 16S ribosomal RNA
Rfam family: Bacterial small subunit ribosomal RNA
Source: RNAcentral
UACAGAGGGUGCGAGCGUUAAUCGGAAUUACUGGGCGUAAAGGGCUCGUAGGCGGCCAACUAAGUCGGACGUGAAAUCCCUCAGCUUAACUGGGGAACUGCGUCCGAUACUGGAUGGCUUGGAUUUGGGAGAGGGAUGCGGAAUUCCAGGUGUAGCGGUGAAAUGCGUAGAUAUCUGGAGGAACACCGGUGGCGAAGGCGGCAUCCUGGACCAAUAUUGACGCUGAGGAGCGAAAGCCAGGGGAGCAAACGGG